Molecule: non-coding RNA, 857 nt
Organism: Silurus meridionalis
Lineage: Eukaryota; Metazoa; Chordata; Actinopteri; Siluriformes; Siluridae
Source: the annotation of a RefSeq genome assembly
CACACACACACACACACACACACACUUUGCAUUAGCAGUCCAUGCUUCAGUGCUCUGUGAGUGUUUAUAGUCCUGUGACUUGAACACUUCAUGACUGAGAGCUGCUGAUCAGCAACUUCACCCACAGCAACCAUGACUUUGAUCAGCGUCUUCAUCUGCACACUGGCCCUCUGGACUCAAGGAUCCAGAGGUCAGGUGACUGUGACUCAGACUCCUUCAGUGCAAACUGUUGUUCCAGGAAACACAGUCACCAUCAACUGUAAAACCAGUAGCAGUGUGUAUAGUGGUGAUACACUGCACUGGUACCUGCAGAAACUCGGAGAAGCUCCUAAACUUCUCAUCCAUGAUGCUACUGAAUUAGAAUCAGGAAUUCCAGAUCGUUUCAGAGGCAGUGGAUCGAAUACUGACUUCACUCUGACCAUCAGUGGAGUCCAGACUGAAGAUGCAGGAGAUUACUACUGUCAGAGUGUUCAUGUGAUCAGUAGUAACUAUGUGUUCACACAGUGUUAGAGCAUCGUACAAAAACCUCGGUCAGUGAGAGUGUACAGAGAAGCACUGCUGCAGCUGGGAGAGACUGCAGGUGCUGAGGGGGAGGAUGUGAUACACACAAUCACACACACUGUGGAUGAGAGAAAACACAACACACUAACACGCUAAUACACACAUCUGUAACACAUCUGUAACAGGAGUCCACCUUUCACAUCUGUAGAUUUACAAACAUUUCCUGAUCUUUCUGAUUUACUGCACAAUAAUUAUCUUCAUCCCAUUUUACAGACUUAUGGAAAUAUUUAUUAUAUUUAUAUUUUGUUGAAAAUAUAAUUUACUCAACAUUUCUUUAUGAAUGUUGAACAUUAUUA